RNAcentral lists this ribosomal RNA (499 nucleotides) under uncultured Fusibacter sp. RNAcentral's name for it is "bacterial SSU rRNA". It matches the Rfam family "Bacterial small subunit ribosomal RNA", at positions 887 to 1382 of the family's 1533-position model. The record is from RNAcentral. Lineage: Bacteria; Bacillati; Bacillota; Clostridia; Eubacteriales; Fusibacteraceae.
CGCCCGCUCAGAAACUUAAAGGAAUUGACGGGGACCCGCACAAGCAGCGGAGCAUGUGGUUUAAUUCGAAGCAACGCGAAGAACCUUACCAGAUCUUGACAUCCAAUUGACCAUCUUUUAAUCGAGAUUUUGCCUUCGGGUACAAUUGAGACAGGUGGUGCAUGGUUGUCGUCAGCUCGUGUCGUGAGAUGUUGGGUUAAGUCCCGCAACGAGCGCAACCCUUGUGUUUAGUUGCAAACAGGUCAAGCUGUGCACUCUAGACAGACUGCCGUGGACAACACGGAGGAAGGUGGGGAUGACGUCAAAUCAUCAUGCCCCUUAUGAUCUGGGCUACACACGUGCUACAAUGGCCGGUACAACGGGCAGCGAAGGAGCGAUCCGGAGCGAAUCCUAAAAAGCCGGUCCCAGUUCGGAUUGCAGGCUGAAACUCGCCUACAUGAAGUUGGAGUUGCUAGUAAUCGCGAAUCAGAAUGUCGCGGUGAAUGCGUUCCCGGGCCUU